AUGANGGCCACAAUAACUAUAGGCAUA
RNAcentral lists this unclassified non-coding RNA (27 nucleotides) under synthetic construct. RNAcentral's name for it is "5'-R(*AP*UP*GP*AP*3DRP*GP*GP*CP*CP*AP*CP*AP*AP*UP*AP *AP*CP*UP*AP*UP*AP*GP*GP*CP... from synthetic construct (PDB 4B3O, chain R)". The record is from RNAcentral.